UACGGAAGGCAGCAGUGGGGAAUAUUGCACAAUGGGCGCAAGCCUGAUGCAGCCAUGCCGCGUGUAUGAAGAAGGCCUUCGGGUUGUAAAGUACUUUCAGUCGUGAGGAAGGUGUUAAGGUUAAUAACCUUAGCAAUUGACGUUAGCGACAGAAGAAGCACCGGCUAACUCCGUGCCAGCAGCCGCGGUAAUACGGAGGGUGCGAGCGUUAAUCGGAAUUACUGGGCGUAAAGGGCACGCAGGCGGUUAAUUAAGUUGGAUGUGAAAUCCCCGGGCUUAACCUGGGAAUGGCAUUCAAGACUGGUUAGCUAGAGUCUUGUAGAGGGGGUAGAAUUCCAUGUGUAGCGGUGAAAUGCGUAGAGAUGUGGAGGAUACCGGUGCGAAGGCGGCCCUGGACAAGCUGACGCUCAUGUGCGAAAGCGUGGGGAGCAAACGAGGAUUAGAUACC
This 448-nucleotide ribosomal RNA is filed under the name uncultured bacterium. RNAcentral describes it as "bacterial SSU rRNA". It matches the Rfam family "Bacterial small subunit ribosomal RNA", at positions 340 to 786 of the family's 1533-position model. The record is from RNAcentral.